Molecule: ribosomal RNA, 497 nt
Filed under: uncultured bacterium
Lineage: Bacteria
Description: partial 16S ribosomal RNA
Rfam family: Bacterial small subunit ribosomal RNA
Source: RNAcentral
GAUGAACGCUGGCGGCGUGCCUAAUACAUGCAAGUCGAGCGAACGGACGAGAAGCUUGCUUCUCUGAUGUUAGCGGCGGACGGGUGAGUAACACGUGGAUAACCUACCUAUAAGACUGGGAUAACUUCGGGAAACCGGAGCUAAUACCGGAUAAUAUUUUGAACCGCAUGGUUCAAAAGUGAAAGACGGUCUUGCUGUCACUUAUAGAUGGAUCCGCGCUGCAUUAGCUAGUUGGUAAGGUAACGGCUUACCAAGGCAACGAUGCAUAGCCGACCUGAGAGGGUGAUCGGCCACACUAGAGCUGAGACACGGUCCAGACUCCUACGGGAGGCAGCAGUAGGGAAUCUUCCGCAAUGGGCGAAAGCCUGACGGAGCAACGCCGCGUGAGUGAUGAAGGUCUUCGGAUCGUAAAACUCUGUUAUUAGGGAAGAACAUAUGUGUAAGUAACUGUGCACAUCUUGACGGUACCUAAUCAGAAAGCCACGGCUAACUACGUG